This 43-nucleotide non-coding RNA is filed under the name Schistosoma mansoni. Lineage: Eukaryota; Metazoa; Platyhelminthes; Trematoda; Strigeidida; Schistosomatidae. The record is from RNAcentral.
GUCUAGGACGAGUCCCAAAUAGGACGAAAUGCGCGUCCUAGAU